Lemur catta (Ring-tailed lemur) is the source of this 1171-nucleotide long non-coding RNA. RefSeq lists it as uncharacterized. The record is from RefSeq and is a predicted model, not a curated record. Lineage: Eukaryota; Metazoa; Chordata; Mammalia; Primates; Lemuridae. The transcript is spliced from 7 exons.
ACACAAAAUUUAAAAAACAUGCUCCGCAGUUAACUCAUGAUAGAAGAUAACAGCGAUAGUUUUUCAUUAAAAAUAAACAGAAGUAACUCUGGAUAUGAGUUACACAAAAUAAGAUUAUAAGCACAGUAGCUGUGAUUUUAACUUUUCUUCUCUUCCAAAUAGGGAUUUCCCAGGAUGUCUCAAAUGGGCAGGCUCUGACUAAGACCUGUGGCAGAUCAGCCUUGCUCUGGGACUCAUCCAUCGCCUGUCGAACUGCCCAGAUUGCAUCUCAAAGACCAGAGCCAGCUUCAGCCUUCCUCCCUGGGUUAAGUCCAGGAAAGCUGCCCGAGCACUUUCAGCUGGAAGGUGCCGUGUGCUGAAGGAGCUCUUUAGUGACAAGAAGUGACUGGGUAUGAGAAGGUUUAUACGGCUCCACUUUAGGUGACAAGGAAGUACGAGACUGACUGUAAAUGAUUUGGGGACUGUCCCCACAGAUUCUUCUCGGUGAGUAAACUAUGGAAGGGCACAUUGAGACGCAGCGGAAGGAAGGCAUUCUCUCUCUUACCUUUGCAGAACAGGAACUUCUGCGACUCGGCCCGGCCUCCGUGGUGACCCGCUUUGCACCAGAAGCAUUUCUCUCAAUCAGAGCCUGGAUCUGGCUGUCCAGCUCCAGGCUUUCACACCUACCCAGGGGGACACGGGAAAGUCACAUUUUACAAAGGCCUUUCUGUUUAAAGAAAACAACCUGUUGGUGGCUCCAGCUGCAAUGUAGGCGGCUUGUAAAGGCGAUGUUAGGAGAAGCUUGAGAGAGAAGAGAUGAGGGUCGGGAAUCCACUCUUGCCCCUCCUUUCUGGAACUCCCCGGUUUUUAAAGUGGUGGACGGUGCCGGCAGAGCAGCCAACUCGAAGCAGAGAUGAAGUGCAGCUGCGGAUGCUGGUGUGAACCCAGUGAGAGAUUCCUGGAGCUCCAGCCCAGCCGGCCAUCCGAGUCCUCUGUCCGCUCACCGAGCUAUGCUGGAAACUAACCUGUCACGGUGGAACUGAGCCCGAGGGCGGUGCCACAAAGUGAAACUGGCUUCUGGAUCUGCCGGGUGAGAGUGAAAGUAAAGGUCACUUUUUGGUCCCCUGAGACCAAGACGCGACGGCAGCUCAUCCCUCAGCCCCGCAUCCUUCCUUCCGAGCCCCGGAUCAUG